RNAcentral lists this ribosomal RNA (787 nucleotides) under uncultured bacterium. RNAcentral's name for it is "bacterial SSU rRNA". It matches the Rfam family "Bacterial small subunit ribosomal RNA", at positions 62 to 827 of the family's 1533-position model. The record is from RNAcentral.
UCGAACGCGAAAGGCCCCUUCGGGGGCCGAGUAGAGUGGCGCACGGGUGAGUAACACGUAGGUAAUUUGCCUUCGGGUGGGGAAUAACAGCCGGAAACGGCUGCUAAUACCGCAUAAUGCAGCGGCUCGACAUCGAGACAGUUGUUAAAGCGGGGGAUCGCAAGACCUCGCGCCUGAAGAGAAGCCUGCGGCAGAUUAGCUAGUUGGUAGGGUAAUGGCCUACCAAGGCGACGAUCUGUAACCGGCCUGAGAGGGCGGUCGGUCACACUGACACUGACAUACGGGUCAGACUCCUACGGGAGGCAGCAGUCGGGAAUUUUGGGCAAUGGGCGAAAGCCUGACCCAGCAACGCCGCGUGAAGGAUGAAAUCCCUCGGGAUGUAAACUUCGCAAGAAUGGGAAGAAUAAGUAGAAGAUAAUACCUUCUAUGAUGACGGUACCAUUUGUAAGCUCCGGCUAACUCCGUGCCAGCAGCCGCGGUAAUACGGGGGGAGCAAGCGUUGUUCGGAUUUACUGGGCGUAAAGGGCGCGUAGGCGGCCACGACAAGUCACUUGUGAAAUCUCCGGGCUUAACUCGGAACGGUCAAGUGAUACUGUCGGGCUAGAGUGCAGAAGGGGCAACUGGAAUUCUCGGUGUAGCGGUGAAAUGCGUAGAUAUCGAGAGGAACACCUGCGGCGAAGGCGGGUUGCUGGGCUGACACUGACGCUGAGGCGCGAAAGCCAGGGGAGCGAACGGGAUUAGAUACCCCGGUAGUCCUGGCCUUAAACGAUGAAUGCUUGGUGUCUCG